CCAGUUUGAUUCAAACGCUAAGUGGAGUGGAACAAUAUACUGAAUAUACUAAAAGUGGAACAAUACAGAGAAGAGUAACAUGACCCCCAAGCAAGGAUAUCACACAAGUUCAUGAAGCAUUCCAUAUAUUU
RNAcentral lists this small nuclear RNA (131 nucleotides) under Dasypus novemcinctus (nine-banded armadillo). Lineage: Eukaryota; Metazoa; Chordata; Mammalia; Cingulata; Dasypodidae. The record is from RNAcentral.